RNAcentral lists this long non-coding RNA (803 nucleotides) under Bemisia tabaci. Its description in RNAcentral is "lncRNA ENSSWEETPG004505". Lineage: Eukaryota; Metazoa; Arthropoda; Insecta; Hemiptera; Aleyrodidae. The record is from RNAcentral.
UUUUUCAUCUUAUAUUACAUGUCUCACAAAUAGAGCUUGGAAGAUCUUGCGAUUGCAAAGUGGCAAAAUUUACCUAUAAUUUUAAAAUUGUUCAAGAGUACUGAUCAUGACCUCCUGAUCGUAAAAAUGUAAAACGAAGUACUGCAUACCAACUAUCUCUCCAUUUCAGUAUAAAAUUAGCGUCUCCCAGCAACAUCAAAAAUAAUGCAUGAAGUACUCAAAACAUCACAAACCGUAAUCUUGCUCUACUGAGUCUUAGUUUUGUACAAAAAAUCGAAGAUAUUUAUAUUUAUUCUAUUUUUAUUCCUCAAUAAUGACCUCCACAAUUUCUUUCUGUUGCAGCAAGCCAGAGUAGAACCAAUUGUAGAAACUCUCAUAGACGAUAUUGAAAUCGUGCCUAUUCCAAAGGAGGAAGUGACUAUGUAGAGGAAAAAAAAGAAAAGGAUGCUGCAUCUAGUGCUUCUGCCCCUGGAACUGCUGGUGCUACAGCAGCAGCUGACGCUGCUGCAGCCGAAAAGAAGAAAGCUGAAGUCAUAGACUUGACAUUUAGCGAUUCUGAAGAUGAGGACGCUUCCAAAAAAUCAACUUGGCCUGCAGCUAAUUCAACAGCUAGAAUUGGAUCAGAUUCAGGUAGCUGUGUUUCAACUCCCGGGCCAAGCUCUGUGACUAGUAGCGGCUAUCAGAGUCCCAAUGUCAUUCCAACGAUCGACAUCAUCGAUGAUAGUCCGUCACCAUCUCCAACACCAGCUUCCCCCGCAGCAUCAAUGCCUCCUCCUGAGCCCUCCGCCUGUCUUUUCAAGUAA